GGGGGGAUUGGGCCCUCGGGAGACCGGCGUUAAUGAUCGCCCGGAUUGUGGGCUCGUUCCGGACGUCGGCUAGCCCCCAAGCCCUUAGCGGGGCGAUAAAGGGUCGGCUGGCGACUGGGACGGGCUCGCUUCGGGGCUGCGCUCGAAGUGCCGAGCGUAUAGCACGUCGUCGGUCGGGUGGCGUCCUCGGCCUUGUGUCCGGACGCGAGGGGGGGGCCUCGGGGUCCCGGCCGUGUGGCCUUCGUGCGGGGACCCGUGCUCGCUUUUCGUCGGGCUGCGGGGCUGAGCGUGCCUUCGGAGGGCUUCGGGGUGUAGCUAACCUCGGGGCUCUUUUCUCUUCAUCGGUCCCAUGUCCGUCGUUUCGUCCUGGUGGAAGUCGCGUUAAACGGCCGUUCGCGAAGUGUUAGACUUCGGGCCGCCCCUCCGGGUUGUGGGGCGCGAGGAGGAUGGAUGUGACGGACGUGUGGACUGGAGGGGAGAGGGGUGCGUGGGGCUCUGCGGUCCGGUGGGCUCGUGGGCGCGGGAUUCCGUGCGUUUGCUUGGGUUGGGGCCCGGGGGUUUCCUCUUCGGGUUUUGUGACGAUGGNGCCAUCUCCUCCUCCGCCCCUGCGACCAAAGCCAUUCUCUCGACGGGGAGAUGGCCGUCGGACGUAGGUGCGGGGCUCUUCCUUCACAACAGUAGUUAAAUCUUAUGUCUGAGUNAUGUUCCGAGGAGCACCGUCUCCCGGUCGGAGACUCUUGAACCGUCGCGGUGUAGAGACCGGGCCCUGUCNUGGGGUUCGGGCUCGAGGAUGCGGGUCCCUGUCAUGGGGAUCGGCUCCGUUCCGUGGCGGGGUGGAGUCCGCGGGGUGCGUGUCCGCCCUUUGAGCAGACCAAAAAAAA
This 881-nucleotide unclassified non-coding RNA is filed under the name Marchantia paleacea subsp. paleacea. RNAcentral describes it as "partial ITS1". The record is from RNAcentral. Lineage: Eukaryota; Viridiplantae; Streptophyta; Marchantiopsida; Marchantiales; Marchantiaceae.